RNAcentral lists this ribosomal RNA (513 nucleotides) under uncultured Chitinivorax sp. Its description in RNAcentral is "bacterial SSU rRNA". It matches the Rfam family "Bacterial small subunit ribosomal RNA", at positions 8 to 516 of the family's 1533-position model. Lineage: Bacteria; Pseudomonadati; Pseudomonadota; Betaproteobacteria. The record is from RNAcentral.
AGAGUUUGAUCCUGGCUCAGAUUGAACGCUGGCGGCAUGCUUUACACAUGCAAGUCGAACGGGGUUAAGGGGCUUGCUCCUUAAUCUAGUGGCGAACGGGUGAGUAAUGCAUCGGAACGUACCCGGGAGUGGGGGAUAACGCACCGAAAGGUGUGCUAAUACCGCAUAUUCUGUGAGCAGGAAAGCAGGGGACCUUAGGGCCUUGUGCUUCCGGAGCGGCCGAUGUCGGAUUAGCUAGUUGGUGAGGUAAAGGCUCACCAAGGCGACGAUCCGUAGCGGGUCUGAGAGGAUGAUCCGCCACACUGGGACUGAGACACGGCCCAGACUCCUACGGGAGGCAGCAGUGGGGAAUUUUGGACAAUGGGCGCAAGCCUGAUCCAGCCAUGCCGCGUGUCUGAAGAAGGCCUUCGGGUUGUAAAGGACUUUUGUCAGGAAGGAAAACCUAUUGGCUAAUAUCCAGUGGGGAUGACAGUACCUGAAGAAUAAGCACCGGCUAACUACGUGCCAGCAGCC